RNAcentral lists this ribosomal RNA (657 nucleotides) under uncultured methanogenic archaeon. RNAcentral describes it as "bacterial SSU rRNA". It matches the Rfam family "Archaeal small subunit ribosomal RNA", at positions 156 to 806 of the family's 1478-position model. The record is from RNAcentral. Lineage: Archaea; Methanobacteriati; Methanobacteriota.
AUAGGCAAUUAUUCCUGGUAAUGGNUUUUUUGAUUUAAUGCUUUUUUCGCCUAAGGAUGGGUCUGCGGCCGAUUAGGUAGUUGGUUAGGUAAUGGCUUACCAAGCCUUUGAUCGGUACGGGUUGUGAGAGCAAGAGCCCGGAGAUGGAACCUGAGACAAGGUUCCAGGCCCUACGGGGUGCAGCAGGCGCGAAACCUCCGCAAUGUGAGAAAUCGCGACGGGGGGAUCCCAAGUGCCAUUCUCAACGGGAUGGCUUUUCAUUAGUGUAAAGAGCUUUUGGAAUAAGAGCUGGGCAAGACCGGUGCCAGCCGCCGCGGUAACACCGGCAGCUCUAGUGGUAGCAGUUUUUAUUGGGCCUAAAGCGUCCGUAGCCGGUUUAAUAAGUCUCUGGUGAAAUCCUGCAGCUUAACUGUGGGAAUUGCUGGAGAUACUAUUAGACUUGAGAUCGGGAGAGGUUAGAGGUACUCCCAGGGUANAGGUGAAAUUCUGUAAUCCUGGGAGGACCGCCCUGUUGCNAAGGCGUCUNACUGGAACNAUUCUGACAGUGAGGGACGAAAGUUAGGGGCGCGAACCCGAUUAGAUACCCGGGUAGUCCNANCUGUNANCGAUGCCGGACUNGGUGUUGGGGUGGNUUUNACCCUGUCCCCAGNUCCCAAA